GAGCAGACUAUGGAGAGCAAGCCCGUAAGCAGCGUAAGCUACGGAGGAACGUGGAACGCUGCUUAUGAGCUUGCUCUCCAUAGCCUCUGCUU
Molecule: microRNA precursor, 92 nt
Filed under: Mus pahari (shrew mouse)
Lineage: Eukaryota; Metazoa; Chordata; Mammalia; Rodentia; Muridae
Description: microRNA 3105 (MGP_PahariEiJ_G0006601.1)
Source: RNAcentral